GCCCGCCUCCGACUUCCUCUUCCUCUUCCUCUCACCAGAAAGCUCCGCUCGGGACCCCGCCCCGACGGCUUACCUCAGGAGGGCCACUUCUGCGCAGGCGCAUUAUCCUGGCGUGCCAAGGCAGAGUGGAGGCCUGGUCCAAUGGGCGGGGCCGAGAGGCUGGGUAGAGUAUUUCUGGAGAAUAUAUACAUUUAUGUGCAUCAAUGUGUACGGGUGCUGGAGGAGACAAGAGGAAGCAUAAAAUCUCAGAGAGCUGGAGUUACAGACAGCUGAGGAAAUCUUCAACAUAUAGCUGAGACAACCGUGUCAUUAUUUUUUUAAUUGCACACUUAUGUGCGUGUGUACAGAUGCGUUGAUGUGGGCUUGAGUAGGUUACAGCACACAUGCAGAAGUCAGCCGACAACUUGUGGGGCGAGUUCUCCAGCUGGAUCUGUGUCCUGACCAGCAAGUUGUUUAACCCUUCAAAUUUUGCAGCAAAACGAUGCUGUUUGGGGAGUAUGUACACACUUGCUACCAUUAGAUAAAGACUUAUCACAAAGAAAACCUCUGAAUAGUUAAAAGCAGCUUACCUCGUUACUGUCUUUAAUUCUGAUGAUUGAGAAUAAAAGUCUAUAUGCCCAA
This is a long non-coding RNA of Mastomys coucha (southern multimammate mouse), 621 nucleotides long. RefSeq lists it as uncharacterized. The transcript has 3 exons. The record is from RefSeq and is a predicted model, not a curated record. Lineage: Eukaryota; Metazoa; Chordata; Mammalia; Rodentia; Muridae.